RNAcentral lists this ribosomal RNA (700 nucleotides) under uncultured bacterium. RNAcentral's name for it is "bacterial SSU rRNA". It matches the Rfam family "Bacterial small subunit ribosomal RNA", at positions 59 to 729 of the family's 1533-position model. The record is from RNAcentral.
CAGUCGAACGAAGAGCGAUGGAAGCUUGCUUCUAUCAAUCUUAGUGGCGAACGGGUGAGUAACGCGUAAUCAACCUGCCCUUCAGAGGGGGACAACAGUUGGAAACGACUGCUAAUACCGCAUACGAUCUAAUCUCGGCAUCGAGGAUAGAUGAAAGGUGGCCUCUACAUGUAAGCUAUCACUGAAGGAGGGGAUUGCGUCUGAUUAGCUAGUAGGUGGGGUAACGGCUCACCUAGGCGACGAUCCCUAGCUGGUCUGAGAGGAUGACCAGCCACACUGGAACUGAGACACGGUCCAGACUCCUACGGGAGGCAGCAGUGGGGAAUAUUGCACAAUGGGCGCAAGCCUGAUGCAGCCAUGCCGCGUGUAUGAAGAAGGCCUUCGGGUUGUAAAGUACUUUCAGCGGGGAGGAAGGGAUGGUGCUUAAUACGCGCCGUCAUUGACGUUACCCGCAGAAGAAGCACCGGCUAACUCCGUGCCAGCAGCCGCGGUAAUACGGAGGGUGCAAGCGUUAAUCGGAAUUACUGGGCGUAAAGCGCACGCAGGCGGUCUGUUAAGUCAGAUGUGAAAUCCCCGGGCUUAACCUGGGAACUGCAUUUGAAACUGGCAGGCUUGAGUCUCGUAGAGGGGGGUAGAAUUCCAGGUGUAGCGGUGAAAUGCGUAGAGAUCUGGAGGAAUACCGGUGGCGAAGGCGGCCCCC